CCUACGGGAGGCAGCAGUGAGGAAUAUUGGUCAAUGGACGCAAGUCUGAACCAGCCAUGCCGCGUGCAGGAAGACGGCUCUAUGAGUGGUAAACUGCUUUUGUACGAGGGUAAACGCAGAUACGCGUAUCUGUCUGAAAGUAUCGUACGAAUAAGGAUAGGCUAACUCCGUGCCAGCCGCCGCGGUAAUACGGAGGAUUCAAGCGUUAUCCGGAUUUAUUGGGUUUAAAGGGUGCGUAGGCGGUCGGAUAAGUUAGAGGUGAAAUCCCGAGGCUCAACUUCGGAAUUUCCUCUGAUACUGUUCGGCUAGAGAGUAGUUGCGGUAGGCGGAAUGUAUGGUGUAGCGGUGAAAUGCUCAGAGAUCAUACAGAACACCGAUUGCGAAGGCAGCUUACCAAGCUACUUCUGACGUUGAGGCACGAAAGCGUGGGGAGCAAACAGGAUUAGAUACCCCAGUAGUC
This 460-nucleotide ribosomal RNA is filed under the name uncultured bacterium. RNAcentral's name for it is "partial 16S ribosomal RNA". It matches the Rfam family "Bacterial small subunit ribosomal RNA", at positions 338 to 795 of the family's 1533-position model. The record is from RNAcentral.